This is a long non-coding RNA of Dendrobium catenatum, 656 nucleotides long. RefSeq lists it as uncharacterized. The record is from RefSeq and is a predicted model, not a curated record. The transcript has 2 exons. Lineage: Eukaryota; Viridiplantae; Streptophyta; Magnoliopsida; Asparagales; Orchidaceae.
UGUAAGGACUUUAUCAACCUUAAGAAUUUCACACAAGAUUGGUUUAUUCUUUUUAAAUGUCAUAUUCGUGUUAUUUUACUUAUUAUUAUUUGUUGGUUCCUUUGAAAAAGUAGGAACGAGUCGAAGAAUGAGAACAUUACUAUGAAUUCACUGACCAUUAUCUAUAAAAUUAUGGGUCCCUCGGAUGUCCAUACUACUAUUGUGAUUGAAAUUCAAGCUUUAAAGUAUGGUUUACAAUUAUGUAUUUCUUUAUAGAUUACUAAUAUUUACAUUGAAGUUGAUGCUAUGAUUGUGAUUUAUUAUAUUACUGAUAAAAUUAAUGUUAAUCCCUCUUAUUUCUAUAUCAUUAGAGAAACGCAAUGGCUGUCGCUUAUCAAUUUUUCUAGAACUCACAUUUAUAGGGAAGGCAGUGUUGCUGUUGAUUUUUUAGCUGACUUGGGUUGUAAUUUGAUGAAUUUCGUGGAAUAUAUGGGGUCCUCUCUUCCUACCAAACUUGUGGGGAUGGCUAGCUUGACCGUUUGGGACUUCCUUAUGUUAGAGUCAAUUAUGUUCUACCUUAGCCUAUUUGCUAUUUUGUUGUGGUCUUUGUGCUUUUUGUCAUAUUUGUUUCUUUUGGUUUUAUUUACUUAUUUAAUAUAUGAGUGGAUUAAUCUAAA